Molecule: transfer RNA, 91 nt
Filed under: Macrococcus hajekii
Lineage: Bacteria; Bacillati; Bacillota; Bacilli; Caryophanales; Staphylococcaceae
Description: tRNA-Ser
Rfam family: tRNA
About the family: Transfer RNA (tRNA) molecules are approximately 80 nucleotides in length. Their secondary structure includes four short double-helical elements and three loops (D, anti-codon, and T loops).
Source: RNAcentral
UGGAGGGUUGUCCGAGCUGGCCGAAGGAGCACGCCUGGAAAGUGUGUAAACGUCACAAGCGUUUCGAGGGUUCGAAUCCCUUGCCCUCCGU